Molecule: ribosomal RNA, 476 nt
Filed under: uncultured bacterium
Lineage: Bacteria
Description: bacterial SSU rRNA
Rfam family: Bacterial small subunit ribosomal RNA
Source: RNAcentral
GACGAACGCUGGCGGCGCGCUUAAUACAUGCAAGUCGAACGAGAAGCCAGAGCUUGCUCUGGUGGAAAGUGGCGAACGGGUGAGUAACACGUGAGAAACCUGCCCCAAAGAUUGGGAUAAGCCUUGGAAACGAGGUCUAAUACCAAAUACCUUCUUUUUAACACAUGUUAAAAAGAAGAAAUGCUCCGGCGCUUUGGGAUGGUCUCGCGAUCUAUCAGCUUGUUGGUGAGGUAACGGCUCACCAAGGCAUCGACGGAUAGCUGGUCUGAGAGGAUGUCCAGCCACAUUGGAACUGAGACACGGUCCAAACUCCUACGGGAGGCAGCAGUAGGGAAUCUUGCACAAUGAGGGAAACCUUGAUGCAGCGACGCCGCGUGCGGACGAAGGCCCUAGGGUUGUAAACCGCUUUCAGUAGGGACGAAAGUGACGGUACCUACAGAAGAAGCCCCGGCCAACUAUGUGCCAGCAGCCGCGGU